AGCUCGCCUAAUGAUAGACACCAAAGCAAGCAAAAUAGUCCACACACUAACACGUCAGGUCAAGGUGUAGCUUAUGGGGGGGUUAAAGAUGGGCUACAUUUUCUCACCACUAGAAAACCACCAAAGGCUAUGUGAAACCUAAGCCCCCCGGCGGAUUUAGCAGUAAACCCGGGCAAGACCUGCCUAAUUGAAACCUGCUCUGGGACGCGUACACACCGCCCGUCACCCUCUUCAACCAGCCAAAGCCCCACUAACAUAUAACCCCCCCCGCACCCUAGACGAGGUAAGUCGUAACAUGGUAAGCCUACCGGAAGGUGGGCUUGGCACACCAC
RNAcentral lists this ribosomal RNA (332 nucleotides) under Phyllodactylus pumilus. RNAcentral describes it as "partial 12S ribosomal RNA". The record is from RNAcentral. Lineage: Eukaryota; Metazoa; Chordata; Lepidosauria; Squamata; Phyllodactylidae.